This is a non-coding RNA of Chiloscyllium plagiosum (whitespotted bambooshark), 2451 nucleotides long. Lineage: Eukaryota; Metazoa; Chordata; Chondrichthyes; Orectolobiformes; Hemiscylliidae. The record is from RefSeq and is a predicted model, not a curated record.
UUUCCAUGAUGUACAUCUCUAUGACUCUAUUCUGAUGGUUGUGGAAUUGCUUAGCUUUGUCUAUCACUUAUUGCUUAUGCCAUUUAACUGGCAAGUGGUCCUGUUUAGUAGCUUCACCAGGUUGACAUUUAAUUUUUAGACAGCCUGGUGCUGCUCCUGGCAUGUCCUCCUCCACUCUCCAUUGAACCAGGACUGAUUCUCUGGUUCACUUGUAGCGGUUGAGUCGGGGAUAUGCCAAGCCAUGAGGUUGCAGAAUUGUAUUGGAGUAUGAUUGUGAUGGUGCUGAUGGCCCACAGCGCCUCAUAGAUGCCUACUCUUGAGUUGCUAUAUCUGUUUGAAGUCUGUCCCAUUUAGCUAGGUGUUAGUGCCACCCAACACAAUAUAGGAUGUUCUCAAUGUGAAGGAAGGACUUUGUCUCCAAAGACUGUACAGUAGUUAGUUACCAAUACUGUCACUGGCAGAUGAUCUGUGGUAGGCUGAUUGGUGAGGAUGAGGGUAAGUAUGUUUUCCCUCUUAUUGGCUCUGUACCACAUGCUGCAGACCCACAGUAGCAGCUGUGUCCUUCAAUCAUUAGUGGUACUGCUGUGCCACUCCUGGUGGUCAUUGAAAUCCUCCAUUCUGAGCCCUGCCCACCCACAGUGUUUCCUCCAAGUGGAAGUCAACAAGGAAGAGCACUAAUUCAUCAGCUGAGGGAGAACAUUACAUACUAAUCAGCAGGAAGUUUUGUUGCCUUUGGUUGACCUGAUGCCAUGAAACAUCAUGGCACCCAGAGCUAAAGUUGAGAAUACCCCGGGUUGCUCCUCAAGACUCUGUAUUAUUGUGUUGCCAUCUCUCCUGGAUCUGUCCUGCUGGUGGGACAGGACAUACCAGGAAGUAUGAUUCUGUAAGUCUAUGCCAGGCUCUUCCCUAACUAGUCUGACACAGUUGUCCUGAUAUUGGGAGCUCACAGAUGUUAGUGAGCAGUACUUUGCAGUUGUUAUUUCUUUUGCCUUGUCUGUCUGGUUUAAAUGUUUUUCUGAGACAUUCUAGCAGUCAGGUGACAUGCUGGGCCAUUUCAGAGUGCAGUUAAGACUAACUUGUAUUGCUAUCAUUCUGGAGUCAUAUGUAGGCUAGAUUUCCUUCCCUAAGUGGUAUUAGUUUUCUGGUUUUAUCAAUCUUUGUUUCAUGAUCAUCAUUAGACUUUUAAUUUCAGAGAUUUUUUUUUUAAAUUCCAUGGUGGGAUUUGUACCUGAGUCUCUGGAGUACCAGUCAAGUGAUAACUCACCUAUGUCAUUGCCUCCCUAUUUAAGGAAAAAAAAAAUUGAAAACCUAUUGUUAAAAUGGCAUGAGUUUAAGCAGGCAGUUAGAGUCAACCACAUUGCUGUGACUUUGGAAUUACAUGUAGAUCAGAGAAGGCAUAAUUGAACUGGAUGGAUUUUUGCAACAAACAACAAUAGUUGCUAUCACAUGAGCUGGUUGUGUUUUAUUGAACUCAAAAUUCAUAUUUGUCAUGGUGAGAUUCAAACCCAUGGUCCCAGAACAUUACCCUGAGAGGAGUUUUGGGAUACUAGUUCAAUGACUUUACCAUUACUCAAUCUACCAUUUGGUAGGUGUAACCCCUGUCACCUGCAUUAAAGUCUGCUCAUCUCUCUUUGAUGCAGACAAAAUUAAAAACUCAUUUUAUGAACAAUGACUUUAAUGAAAGGCAGAAGAAAUUUCUCGCAGUGGCCACACUGUGUGAACUGUUAAUUGUACAUUGAGGAGUCAGAAAAAUCAACAUAAUUCACAGGUGAAAUCUGUCCUUCAUGGUAAUUUGUAUGAAUGUAAUAUAUUAAAAGAAACAUUCUCCCUUUUUUUUCAGCAAAUACAGGCCUCAGCUGGAACAGCACAAUGAUAAUUUCUCUCUCUCCACCAUUGCUGAGGGCUCCCAAGCAAAUGAUGAUGUGAACGGACAAACUAAAACUCAAGAAUCAUUAAAAACUUGCCCGAAAGAUGGAGAUUCACUCAAUGUGCAAAACAACUGGACACCAAAACAUGACAACAAGGAAAGUGCUAGUGCAGAGGUAAACUCACUACAGAAUAACAUGAUGUAAAACAAUUGCAAAAGUGUCCAUUUUAAAAAAAAUUACAGUUUUUCUCCUGCCUUAUGAAACGCUUAGCAUGCUUUGAUGUAUUUUAUAUAAAUAUAUAUAUGAAAAGAGAAAUAAUUACAAGAAAUCCUUUGUUAUUUGUUUGACAAAAAAGACAGAAAACAGUGAAAAAAUUUCUUGUCCUCAACAUGAAUCGUGACCCCAGCAACCUUGCUUUGAUUGAUCAUUUAUUGCAGUCUGAUGGUGUGAUAUACGUUUGCUGCUGAGUUUUGUACUUAGCCACCCUGGCUAUAUUUUUCUCUCUCUUGUGGAAUUUUUGUUUUGACCUUUGAAAAUUGGAAAACAAAGAUGUUGAGUACUGAAAUAAAUCUUUUUAAAUUUA